This 610-nucleotide long non-coding RNA is filed under the name Homo sapiens (human). RNAcentral describes it as "HSALNT0405224". The record is from RNAcentral. Lineage: Eukaryota; Metazoa; Chordata; Mammalia; Primates; Hominidae.
GCGCGUCCCAUCCGGGUCCGAGUAACCGCCGCCGCCGCCAAAACUCGCCAACGUGGCGGACCCGGAGGCUGUGCUGGCAGAUGCCAGUUACCUGAUGGCCAUGGAGAAGAGCAAGGCGACUCCGGCCGCCCGCGCCAGCAAGAGGACCGUCCUGCCCGAUCCCAGUAUCCGGAGUGUGAUGCAGAAAUAUCUUGCAGAGACCAAUGAAAUAAACUUUGACAAGAUUUUCAGUCAGAAAAUUGCUCCCGGCAACCACGAAUUGAGUUUCUGCCUCCAUGGAUUUGCUUGUGUUGGACACGCCACAUGAAGGGAAUCACACACUGUGUGGCCUUUUGCACUGGGCUUCUUCAGCAUAAGGCCUUCAAGGUUCGUUCUGGUGGUUGCAUGGAUCAGAACUUCAGCCUGCUUUCCCUUCAGCUCUCAUUCCAGUUUCUGAAAUGCAUCCAGGAUUCUUCUUUUGUGUUUUCUGUUCUCUCUCCCUUCUGUAGCUCCUUUCCUGUCUACAGUCCCCGCAAACAUACAUACAGCCCCCCAAACAUGUAUUUUCCAUAGCCUGGAUUAAAACCUUAACUGACCCUGGCACCGGGAGACUCUGACCUGAGCUCCCAAU